ACUCCUACGGGAGGCAGCAGUGGGGGAAUAUUGCACAAUGGGCGCAAGCCUGAUGCAGCCAUGCCGCGUGUAUGAAGAAGGCCUUCGGGUUGUAAAGUACUUUCAGCAGUGAGGAAGGUGGUAGUGUUAAUAGCACUAUCAUUUGACGUUAGCUGCAGAAGAAGCACCGGCUAACUCCGUGCCAGCAGCCGCGGUAAUACGGAGGGUGCGAGCGUUAAUCGGAAUUACUGGGCGUAAAGCGCAUGCAGGUGGUUUGUUAAGUCAGAUGUGAAAGCCCGGGGCUCAACCUCGGAAUUGCAUUUGAAACUGGCAGACUAGAGUACUGUAGAGGGGGUAGAAUUUCAGGUGUAGCGGUGAAAUGCGUAGAGAUCUGAAGGAAUACCGGUGGCGAAGGCGGCCCCCUGGACAGAUACUGACACUCAGAUGCGAAAGCGUGGGGAGCAAACAGGAUUAGAUACCCUGGUAG
Molecule: ribosomal RNA, 466 nt
Filed under: uncultured bacterium
Lineage: Bacteria
Description: bacterial SSU rRNA
Rfam family: Bacterial small subunit ribosomal RNA
Source: RNAcentral